Molecule: ribosomal RNA, 532 nt
Filed under: uncultured bacterium
Lineage: Bacteria
Description: partial 16S ribosomal RNA
Rfam family: Bacterial small subunit ribosomal RNA
Source: RNAcentral
UGGGGAAUAUUGCACAAUGGGCGAAAGCCUGAUGCAGCAACGCCGCGUGAGUGAUGAAGGUCUUCGGAUUGUAAAGCUCUGUCUUUUGGGACGAUAAUGACGGUACCAAAGGAGGAAGCCACGGCUAACUACGUGCCAGCAGCCGCGGUAAUACGUAGGUGGCGAGCGUUGUCCGGAUUUACUGGGCGUAAAGGGUGCGUAGGCGGAUGUUUAAGUGAGAUGUGAAAUACCCGGGCUUAACUUGGGUGCUGCAUUUCAAACUGGAUAUCUAGAGUGCAGGAGAGGAGAAUGGAAUUCCUAGUGUAGCGGUGAAAUGCGUAGAGAUUAGGAAGAACACCAGUGGCGAAGGCGAUUCUCUGGACUGUAACUGACGCUGAGGCACGAAAGCGUGGGUAGCAAACAGGAUUAGAUACCCUGGUAGUCCACGCCGUAAACGAUGAGUACUAGGUGUAGGAGGUAUCGACCCCUUCUGUGCCGCAGUAAACACAUUAAGUACUCCGCCUGGGAAGUACGAUCGCAAGAUUAAAACUCA